GAUGAACGCUGGCGGCGUGCCUAACACAUGCAAGUCGAGCGCGAUUAAGUGGAGUGGAGACUUCGGUCAAAGCGAAGCUUAUGAAAGCGGCGGACGGGUGAGUAACGCGUGGGCAACCUGCCCCAUACAGAGGGAUAGCCACUGGAAACGGUGAUUAAUACCUCAUGAGUCAGUAACAUCGCAUGAUGUAGCUGACAAAGAUUUAUCGGUAUGGGAUGGGCCCGCGUCUGAUUAGCUAGUUGGUGAGGUAACGGCUCACCAAGGCGACGAUCAGUAGCCGACCUGAGAGGGUGAUCGGCCACACUGGAACUGAGACACGGUCCAGACUCCGUACGGGAGCAGCAGUGGGGAAUAUUGCACAAGUGGGCGCAACGCCUGAUGCAGCAACGCCGCGUGAGUGAU
Molecule: ribosomal RNA, 402 nt
Filed under: uncultured bacterium
Lineage: Bacteria
Description: bacterial SSU rRNA
Rfam family: Bacterial small subunit ribosomal RNA
Source: RNAcentral